UACGAAGGGGGCUAGCGUUGCUCGGAAUCACUGGGCGUAAAGGGCGCGUAGGCGGCGUUUUUAAGUCGGGGGUGAAAGCCUGUGGCUCAACCACAGAAUGGCCUUCGAUACUGGGACGCUUGAGUAUGGUAGAGGUUGGUGGAACUGCGAGUGUAGAGGUGAAAUUCGUAGAUAUUCGCAAGAACACCGGUGGCGAAGGCGGCCAACUGGACCAUUACUGACGCUGAGGCGCGACAGCGUGGGGAGCAAACAGG
This 254-nucleotide ribosomal RNA is filed under the name uncultured bacterium. RNAcentral's name for it is "partial 16S ribosomal RNA". It matches the Rfam family "Bacterial small subunit ribosomal RNA", at positions 524 to 776 of the family's 1533-position model. The record is from RNAcentral.